CCUACGUGAGACAGCAGUAGGGAAUCUUCCACAAUGGGCGAAAGCCUGAUGGAGCAACGCCGCGUGGGUGAAGAAGGUCUUCGGAUCGUAAAACCCUGUUGUUAGAGAAGAAAGUGCGUGAGAGUAACUGUUCACGUUUCGACGGUAUCUAACCAGCAAGCCACGGCUAACUACGUGCCAGCAGCCGCGGUAAUCCGUAGGUGGCAAGCGUUAUCCGGUUUUAUUGGGCGUAAAGGGAACGCAGGCGGUCUUUUAAGUCUGAUGUGAAAGCCUUCGGCUUAACCGGAGUAGUGCAUUGGAAACUGGGAGACUUGAGUGCAGAAGAGGAGAGUGGAACUCCAUGUGGAGCGGUGAAAUGCGUAGAUAUAUGGAAGAACACCAGUGGCGAAAGCGGCUCUCUGGUCUGUAACUGACGCUGAGGUUCGAAAGCGUGGGUAGCAAACAGGAUUAGAUACCCUGGUAGUC
Molecule: ribosomal RNA, 465 nt
Filed under: uncultured bacterium
Lineage: Bacteria
Description: partial 16S ribosomal RNA
Rfam family: Bacterial small subunit ribosomal RNA
Source: RNAcentral